Molecule: ribosomal RNA, 344 nt
Filed under: Bacillus sp. SPA S-619
Lineage: Bacteria; Bacillati; Bacillota; Bacilli; Caryophanales; Bacillaceae
Description: bacterial SSU rRNA
Rfam family: Bacterial small subunit ribosomal RNA
Source: RNAcentral
UUUAUUCGAAGCAACGCGAAGAACCUUACCAGGUCUUGACAUCCUCUGAAAACCCUAAAAAUAAGGCUUUUCCUUCGGGAGCAAAGUGACAGGUGGUGCAUGGUUGUCGUCAGCUCGUGUCGUGAGAUGUUGGGUUAAGUAMCCGCAACGAGCGCAACCCUUGAUCUUAGUUGCCAUCAUUAAGUUGGGCACUCUAAAGUGACUGCCGGUGACAAACCGGAGGAAAGUGGGGAUGACAUCUAAUCAUCAUGCCCCUUAUGACCUGGGCUACACACGUGCUACAAUGGACGGUACAAAGAGCUGCAAGACCGCGAGGUGUAGCUAAUCUCAUAAAACCGUUCUCA